This is a long non-coding RNA of Canis lupus familiaris (dog), 1484 nucleotides long. RefSeq lists it as uncharacterized. Lineage: Eukaryota; Metazoa; Chordata; Mammalia; Carnivora; Canidae. The record is from RefSeq and is a predicted model, not a curated record. The transcript is spliced from 6 exons.
GGGGGCGGGGCGAGCGGAGCGGAGCGGAGCGGGCGGGGCGAGCUUGGCGGCUGGUGGCGUUCAGGGACUCUGAGGACGCCGUGACUUGAGGGCCGGAAGGUGAAGUCCGCCCAGGACGAGAAUGUCCGACUAAACUGAUGCACUCCAAAAAUUUGUUUAAAUCUCUCUGAGAGACUAAGCGAGAUUCUGCCUUUACGCAUUAUGCUUGUGUGGCCGAGGACUGAGUAAAUAAAUGUUCACGUGAAGUCUUCUUGGCAACCUGGAUCACCGUCUGCCAUUCUAGAUUUGAAAACUCUACUUUCUGAAUCGGGGAAGUGACUGUGUUUACAUAUUGUAACAUUUCAGAUGUCUAAUAAAACUUGCCCUCCUCCGGAACACUCAGGAAAAAACUGAUUUUACUUAUCCACAAGAGACAUAGAGAGAGGCAGAGGGAGGAGAAGCAGGCUCCGUGCAGGGAGGAGGACUAAAGAGACUUCUAAAGAGUCAGAGGACUUCAUUGUGGAACAGUAUAAACGUCUCCGCCAGAGGGAUGGCUCUGGAGUAACCAAGUCUUCAUGGAGGAUUACAGUGCGACAACUUGAGAGCAUGAUCCAUCUCUCUGAAGCAAUGGCUCGAAUGCACUGCUGUGAUGAGGAACUGAGGUCUCCUGCAACUUGCAAGCCAUGUGAGUGACAUAUUUUAGUACUGGUCCUCUCAUCCCCAGUCAAGACUUCAGAUCCAGCUGACAUUGUGACUGCAAUGAUACAUGGUUAGCCAGAACAACUCAGCUGAGCAGCUGAGCUGUUGCCAAAUUCCCGACUCACAGAAACUGUGUCAGAUAACAAUUGUUUAUUAUUGCUUCAAGCUGCCAGUUUUGGGAAUGAAGUGCUAUACAACAAUAGAUAACUAAUACUCCAAACAAUCAGAAAGGAUGCAGAAACUGGCUUAUUGCUCAUGCAGCAUCCUGGAGCCUCCUCUGCUAUCACUCUAAGCUCCAUUCAUCAUCUGUGCGUCAUGUUCAUGAACUGUCCCAAGAGACUCAAUAAUUAUUUGUGGAAAGACAGAAGCUUCAUUAGACCGAUGCUGAUUUGGGGCUUUAUGAACCAGUAAAAUUUCCAGGAAAAAGAAGGGCAUGUAUCCCUGACUCAAAACAAGAAUAAUUGAGUACCAGGAAGAAGCCACACUGCCUAUGCUAUUGGGAGUGGGGCCGUGAGUAAUGAAGAGGAGAAAAGAUGCAUCAGGCCUUCAUCCCUUAAGCUCUGGGAAUGCAUAAAGAUGUCUGGAUCCAUAAACAGCUGUGUACCUGGUAUGACUCUGCCUCAAAGUGGUCAUAAAGUCUGGGAGACCAGCCUUAAAAUCAAGAAACCAAGGUUCAAGCCCCACCAAUGCCACUUACCUUGGAUAAAUUUACCAAUUUCCCUGAAUUUUCUCAUCUGUAAAAUUCUCGUCUUAAUCAAUCUUGACUUAAGGUUUUGUGGUAAAAAUAAAAGCAACAUGCAAAAACA